GACGAACGCUGGCGGCGUGCUUAACACAUGCAAGUCGAACGGAAAGGCCCCUUUGGGGGUACUCGAGUGGCGAACGGGUGCGUAACACGUGAGUAACCUGCCCUUGACUUCGGGAUAACUUCAGGAAACUGGGGCUAAUACCGGAUAGGAAUCCUUGCUGCAUGGUGGGGGUUGGAAAGCUUCGGCGGUUUUGGAUGGACUCGCGGCUUAUCAGCUUGUUGGUGGGGUAGUGGCUUACCAAGGCUUUGACGGGUAGCCGGCCUGAGAGGGCGACCGGCCACAGUGGGACUGAGAUACGGCCCAGACUCCUACGGGAGGCAGCGGUGGGGAAUAUUGCACAAUGGGCGGAAGCCUGAUGCAGCAACGCCGCGUGCGGGAUGACGGCCUUCGGGUUGUAAACCGCUUUCAGCAGGGGCGAAGCUUGUGGUGACGGUACCUGCAGAAGAAGCACCGGCUAACUACGUG
This 465-nucleotide ribosomal RNA is filed under the name uncultured bacterium. RNAcentral's name for it is "partial 16S ribosomal RNA". It matches the Rfam family "Bacterial small subunit ribosomal RNA", at positions 28 to 507 of the family's 1533-position model. The record is from RNAcentral.